This 545-nucleotide ribosomal RNA is filed under the name uncultured bacterium. RNAcentral describes it as "bacterial SSU rRNA". It matches the Rfam family "Bacterial small subunit ribosomal RNA", at positions 385 to 917 of the family's 1533-position model. The record is from RNAcentral.
GAUCCAGCCAUGCCGCGUGAGUGAAGAAGGCCUUCGGGUUGUAAAGCUCUUUCGGCCGGGAAGAAAUCGCAUGGGGUCAAUACCCUGUGUGGAUGACGGUACCGGAAUAAGAAGCACCGGCUAACUACGUGCCAGCAGCCGCGGUAAUACGUAGGGUGCGAGCGUUAAUCGGAAUUACUGGGCGUAAAGCGUGCGCAGGCGGUUUGGUAAGUCAGAUGUGAAAAUCCCCGGGGCUCAACCUGGGGAACUGCAUUUGAGACUGCCAAGCUGGAGUUUGGCAGAGGGGGGUGGAAUUCCACGUGUAGCAGUGAAAUGCGUAGAGAUGUGGAGGAACACCGAUGGCGAAGGCAGCCCCCUGGGCCAAUACUGACGCUCAUGCACGAAAGCGUGGGGAGCAAACAGGAUUAGAUACCCUGGUAGUCCACGCCCUAAACGAUGUCAACUAGGUGUUGGGAGGGUUAAACCUUUUAGUGCCGUAGCUAACGCGUGAAGUUGACCGCCUGGGGAGUACGGCCGCAAGGCUAAAACUCAAAGGAAUUGACGGG